Molecule: ribosomal RNA, 253 nt
Filed under: uncultured bacterium
Lineage: Bacteria
Description: partial 16S ribosomal RNA
Rfam family: Bacterial small subunit ribosomal RNA
Source: RNAcentral
UACGAAAGGUCCAAGCGUUACCCGGAAUUACUGGGCGUAAAGCGCACGUAGGCGGCUCUUUAAGUCGGGGGUGAAAUCCUGGAGCUCAACUCCAGAGCUGCCUUCGAUACUGUAGAGCUUGAGUUCGGGAGAGGUGAGUGGAACUGCGAGUGUAGAGGUGAAAUUCGUAGAUAUUCGCAAGAACACCAGUGGCGAAGGCGGCUCACUGGCCCGAUACUGACGCUGAGGUGCGAAAGCGUGGGGAGCAAACAGG